UUUUGCAUAUCAAAAAGCGGAGGAAAAGAAACCAACAGGGAUUGCCUCAGUAACGGCGAGUGAAGCGGCAACAGCUCAAAUUUGAAAUCUGGCCCUUUCAGGGUCCGAGUUGUAAUUUGUAGAGGAUGUUUCGGCGAGGGCUCCCGUCUAAGUUCCCUGGAACGGGACGUCAUAGAGGGUGAGAAUCCCGUAUGUGAUGGGUUGCUCGAGCCAUGUGAAACUCCUUCGACGAGUCGAGUUGUUUGGGAAUGCAGCUCUAAAUGGGAGGUAAAUUUCUUCUAAAGCUAAAUACCGGCCAGAGACCGAUAGCGCACAAGUAGAGUGAUCGAAAGAUGAAAAGCACUUUGGAAAGAGAGUUAAAAAGUACGUGAAAUUGUUGAAAGGGAAGCGCUUGCAACCAGACUUGUCCGCAGUUGCUCAGCCGGUCUCCUGACCGGUGUACUCUUCUGCGGCCAGGCCAGCAUCAGUUCGGGCGGUUGGAUAAAGGCCCCGGGAAUGUGGCUCUCUUCGGGGAGUGUUAUAGCCCGGGGCGGAAUGCAGCCAGCCUGGACUGAGGAUCUCGCUUCGGCAAGGAUGCUGGCGUAAUGGUUGUAAGCGGCCCGUCUUGAACCACGGACCA
This 619-nucleotide ribosomal RNA is filed under the name Aplosporella longipes. Its description in RNAcentral is "eukaryotic LSU rRNA". It matches the Rfam family "Eukaryotic large subunit ribosomal RNA", at positions 34 to 668 of the family's 3401-position model. Lineage: Eukaryota; Fungi; Ascomycota; Dothideomycetes; Botryosphaeriales; Aplosporellaceae. The record is from RNAcentral.